Molecule: unclassified non-coding RNA, 476 nt
Filed under: Hevea brasiliensis (rubber tree)
Lineage: Eukaryota; Viridiplantae; Streptophyta; Magnoliopsida; Malpighiales; Euphorbiaceae
Source: RNAcentral
AAAUCUUUAGUGGUGCAUUCAGUAAUUAUCCAUGGCCAUACUCAUUUCUGCAAAUAAUCCUGAUUUCACAAAGGUGGAAGCUGAGAUGGUAGAUUGUGUCAAAAUUCUUUAAAAGUGAUCAGGGAGGAGGUAUAAGAAAAAUGGCUGAAGGGGAGCUUUGGAGCGACAUUAAAAGUUGUCUUUGUGUGAUCUAUCGGUCACAAGUUUGAGCCGUGGAAGUAGUCACUAAUGCUUGAAUUAGGGCAGGCUGUCUAUAUCAGAUCCAUGGGGUGUGACCCUUUUCCAUCCCUGUGUGAACACGAUAUGCCUUGCGCACCGGCUGCUGUGUCAUGUAAGAAAAUGAUCGUCUAUUUCUUUUAGCUGAUUGUAUUGAGCUAUGAUGGUAGACUCUGUCUCAGUUUCUUUGAUAUGAUUUUCUAUUCUUUGUCUAAUGGUGGUGGGCUGGUGGUAUUAGGACCAACUUUUGUGUGCAUCAA